RNAcentral lists this ribosomal RNA (3017 nucleotides) under Streptomyces iranensis. Its description in RNAcentral is "bacterial LSU rRNA". The stretch from base 1050 to 3017 matches the Rfam family "Bacterial large subunit ribosomal RNA". Lineage: Bacteria; Bacillati; Actinomycetota; Actinomycetes; Kitasatosporales; Streptomycetaceae. The record is from RNAcentral.
CGUGGUGGACCUGGUCGACGGCAUCGCCAAGAUCGUCGGCAAGGUGCAGGCGGGAUACGUGUACGUGGACGGCCUCUCGGUCGGCGAUGUCACGGAGACCUCGCUCAAGGACCGCCGCAUCCUCGGCGACGAGGGCAUCAUCUCGAUCUUCGUGGUCGUCGACAGCACGACCGGCAAGAUCGUGGGCGGUCCGCAUAUCCAGGCGAGGGGCUCCGGUAUCGAGGACUCCGCCUUCUCCGCGGUCAUCCCGAGGAUCGAGGAUGCCCUGGUCAAGUCGGCCUCCGACGGGGUCGUGGACCCGCACCAGCUCCAGCAGCUGGCACGCCGCGCGGUCGGUAAGUGGGUCUCCGACAGCUACCGUCGCCGCCCGAUGAUCCUUCCCGUGGUCGUCGAGGUCUGACGUCACGUCUGACACCCCCUCAGCACCACACCGGCGCUGAACACCCGGCGGGGCUCCUCGAUUUGCAUCGAGGAGCCCCGCUCCAGUACGUUUACGGCUCCGCCAGAGGGGAACCCGGAGCGCUCAACGGCCUUCGGAGGAGCCCACCGGCGGGGGUGGAAAUCGACUCGGAGAAAUUCUGAUAAAGUCGACGAAGCCGAAAGGCAAGGCCCUCCAACGGCCACCGGGAACGGAAUUCGGAUCGGAAACGACCGGAAAUCGGAUCUGGUAAGGUUGGAAACACCGAAGGGAAGCGCCCGGAGAAGCCGGUGAAACGGUUUCGAAGGAAGCGUCCGUUCCUUGAGAACUCAACAGCGUGCCAAAAGUCAACGCCAGAUAUGUUGAUACCCCGUCCAGGUUUGGACGAGGUUCCUUUGAAGAAAAACACAGCGAGGACGCUGUGAACGGGCCGGGUUAUUCCUCUGGUUCCGUUCCGCUCUCGUGAUGUGUUGCCGGGAUAUCCCGGAAGCAUUCACGGAGAGUUUGAUCCUGGCUCAGGACGAACGCUGGCGGCGUGCUUAACACAUGCAAGUCGAACGAUGAACCGGUUUCGGCCGGGGAUUAGUGGCGAACGGGUGAGUAACACGUGGGCAAUCUGCCCUGCACUCUGGGACAAGCCCUGGAAACGGGGUCUAAUACCGGAUAUGACUGCCGACCGCAUGGUUUGGUGGUGGAAAGCUCCGGCGGUGCAGGAUGAGCCCGCGGCCUAUCAGCUUGUUGGUGGGUGAUGCAGCAUGUGGUCCAACGGCCGCUGUGAUGGGUAGGGGAGCGUCGUGUGCCGGGUGAAGCAGCCGUGUAAGCGAGUUGUGGAUGGUUCACGAGUGAGAAUGCAGGCAUGAGUAGCGAUACACACGUGGGAAACGUGUGCGCCGAUUGACUAAGGGUUCCUGGGUCAAGCUGAUCUGCCCAGGGUAAGUCGGGACCUAAGGCGAGGCCGACAGGCGUAGUCGAUGGACAACCGGUUGAUAUUCCGGUACCCGCUUUGAAACGCCCAGUAUCGAAUCCUCUGAUGCUAAGGCCGUGAAGCCGUCCUGGAUCCUUCGGGUGAAGGGGAGUGGUGGAGCCGCCGGUCCAAGGUGGUAGUAGGUAAGUGAUGGGGUGACGCAGGAAGGUAGUCCAUCCCGGGCGGUGGUUGUCCCGGGGUAAGGGUGUAGCCCGAGGGGUAGGUAAAUCCGUCCCUCUUGUGGGUGAGACCUGAUGCCGAGCCGAUUGUGGUGAAGUGGAUGAUCCUAUGCUGUCGAGAAAAGCCUCUAGCGAGUUUCAUGGCGGCCCGUACCCUAAACCGACUCAGGUGGUCAGGUAGAGAAUACCGAGGCGUUCGGGUGAACUAUGGUUAAGGAACUCGGCAAAAUGCCCCCGUAACUUCGGGAGAAGGGGGGCCAUUGCUGGUGAUGGGAUUUUCUCCUUGAGCUGGUGGUGGCCGCAGAGACCAGCGAGAAGCGACUGUUUACUAAAAACACAGGUCCGUGCGAAGCCGUAAGGCGAUGUAUACGGACUGACGCCUGCCCGGUGCUGGAACGUUAAGGGGACCGGUUAGUCACAUUUCGGUGUGGCGAGGCUGAGAACUUAAGCGCCAGUAAACGGCGGUGGUAACUAUAACCAUCCUAAGGUAGCGAAAUUCCUUGUCGGGUAAGUUCCGACCUGCACGAAUGGCGUAACGACUUCUCGACUGUCUCAACCAUAGGCCCGGUGAAAUUGCAUUACGAGUAAAGAUGCUCGUUUCGCGCAGCAGGACGGAAAGACCCCGGGACCUUUACUAUAGCUUGAUAUUGGUGUUCGGUUCGGCUUGUGUAGGAUAGGUGGGAGACUGUGAACUCUGGACGCCAGUUCAGGGGGAGUCGUUGUUGAAAUACCACUCUGGUCGUGCUGGAUGUCUAACCUGGGUCCGUGAUCCGGAUCAGGGACAGUGUCUGGUGGGUAGUUUAACUGGGGCGGUUGCCUCCUAAAGGGUAACGGAGGCGCCCAAAGGUUCCCUCAGCCUGGUUGGCAAUCAGGUGUUGAGUGUAAGUGCACAAGGGAGCUUGACUGUGAGACCGACGGGUCGAGCAGGGACGAAAGUCGGGACUAGUGAUCCGGCGGUGGCUUGUGGAAGCGCCGUCGCUCAACGGAUAAAAGGUACCCCGGGGAUAACAGGCGAUCUUCCCCAAGAGUCCAGUAUCGACGGGAUGGUUUGGCACCUCGAUGUCGGCUCGUCGCAUCCUGGGGCUGGAGUCGGUCCCAAGGGUUGGGCUGUUCGCCCAUUAAAGCGGUACGCGAGCUGGGUUUAGAACGUCGUGAGACAGUUCGGUCCCUAUCCGCUGUGCGCGUAGGAGUCUUGAGAAGGGCUGUCCCUAGUACGAGAGGACCGGGACGGACGAACCUCUGGUGUGCCAGUUGUUCUGCCAAGGGCAUGGCUGGUUGGCUACGUUCGGGAGGGAUAACCGCUGAAAGCAUCUAAGCGGGAAGCCUGCUUCGAGAUGAGGACUCCCACCCACUUGAUGGGUUAAGGCUCCCAGUAGACGACUGGGUUGAUAGGCCAGAUAUGGAAGCCGGGUGACCGGUGGAGUUGACUGGUACUAAUAGGCCGAGGGCUUGUCCU